This 251-nucleotide ribosomal RNA is filed under the name uncultured prokaryote. RNAcentral describes it as "partial 16S rRNA". It matches the Rfam family "Bacterial small subunit ribosomal RNA", at positions 525 to 775 of the family's 1533-position model. The record is from RNAcentral.
ACGGAGGGAGCAAGCGUUGUUCGGAUUUACUGGGCGUAAAGGGCGUCUAGGCGGACUGGUAAGUCAGAUGUGAAAUCCCCCGGCUCAACCGGGGACCUGCAUUUGAUACUGCUAGUCUUGAGUACGGAAGAGGAAAGCGGAAUUCCUGGUGUAGCGGUGAAAUGCGUAGAUAUCAGGAAGAACACCGGUGGCGAAGGCGGCUUUCUGGUCCGAUACUGACGCUAAAGCGCGAAAGUGUGGGGAGCAAACAG